AUUCAUAUGACGAGUCCUAAAUAGAACGAAACGCGCGUCGUGGAU
Schistosoma mansoni is the source of this 45-nucleotide non-coding RNA. NCBI's taxonomy places the organism in Eukaryota, Metazoa, Platyhelminthes, Trematoda, Strigeidida, Schistosomatidae. The record is from Rfam.